UCCUGGUUUGCCUGGGACUGAGGGAUUUCCUGGGGUGCAGGACUGUCCGUGCUGAAAGCAGGCCAGUC
RNAcentral lists this microRNA precursor (68 nucleotides) under Otolemur garnettii (small-eared galago). RNAcentral's name for it is "miRNA (ENSOGAG00000034433.1)". The record is from RNAcentral. Lineage: Eukaryota; Metazoa; Chordata; Mammalia; Primates; Galagidae.